This 442-nucleotide ribosomal RNA is filed under the name uncultured Glomeromycotina. RNAcentral's name for it is "SSU rRNA". It matches the Rfam family "Eukaryotic small subunit ribosomal RNA", at positions 569 to 1019 of the family's 1831-position model. Lineage: Eukaryota; Fungi; Glomeromycota. The record is from RNAcentral.
AGCAGCCGCGGUAAUUCCAGCUCCAAUAGCGUAUAUUAAAGUUGCUGCAGUUAAAAAGCUCGUAGUUGAAUUUCGGGAUCAAUAUGUUGGUCGUGCCUUGGUACGUACUAGCUUAUUGAUUUCUCCUUUCUGACGAACCAUGAUGUCAUUAAUUUGGUGUCAUGGGGAAUCAGGACUGUUACUUUGAAAAAUUAGAGUGUUUAAAGCAGGCUCGCGCUUGAAUACAUUAGCAUGGAAUAAUGAAAUAGGACAUUUGAUUCUAUUUUGUUGGUUUCUAGGAUCGAUGUAAUGAUUAAUAGGGAUAGUUGGGGCAUUAGUAUUCAAUUGUCAGAGGUGAAAUUCUUGGAUUUAUUGAAGACUAACUACUGCGAAAGCAUUUGCCAAGGAUGUUUUCAUUAAUCAAGAACGAAAGUUAGGGGAUCGAAGACGAUCAGAUACCGUC